AAAAAAUUGUCAAAACUCUUCUUGAAUUUUUUCAAGGCGAAAACAUAAUUGUGAAUCUUUUGGGGCAUAAGUUGCGUGCCGAGUUAGGUUGGAAACCUGUUGGUGAGGAGUUAAUUAAGGAAGGCCUUGAACUAGUGCUUGAUUCAGAGAGAUAUCCUCUUUUGAUUAUGUGCUCUUUUGGUGUGCACCAAACAGGCAUUCUUGUUGGGUGUUUGCGAAGACUUCAGCUUUGGAAUCUAAACUCCAUUAUACAAGAAUAUCGCUUGUUUGUUAAAGAUAAAAGCCGAUAUAUGACCGAACUAUUCGUUGAAGUUUUUGACCUCGACUUGAUUACUCUUCCCAGCAACUUGCCAGAAUGGCUUAGUAUCCGUGCAGUUGAAGAAUGUUAAAAUGGACAACUAAUCGUUUAAAGGGGGGCCUUGUCACUAUAUUUCAUAAAUCUUUUUUUACUAAUAUAUUUUAUAAG
Molecule: long non-coding RNA, 466 nt
Organism: Zophobas morio
Lineage: Eukaryota; Metazoa; Arthropoda; Insecta; Coleoptera; Tenebrionidae
Exons: 5
Source: RefSeq, a predicted model, not a curated record